This 23-nucleotide non-coding RNA is filed under the name Arabidopsis thaliana (thale cress). The record is from RNAcentral. Lineage: Eukaryota; Viridiplantae; Streptophyta; Magnoliopsida; Brassicales; Brassicaceae.
ACGAAAAGUUACGAUGAAAAGAC